Molecule: transfer RNA, 59 nt
Filed under: Tetragenococcus halophilus subsp. halophilus
Lineage: Bacteria; Bacillati; Bacillota; Bacilli; Lactobacillales; Enterococcaceae
Description: tRNA-Asp
Rfam family: tRNA
About the family: Transfer RNA (tRNA) molecules are approximately 80 nucleotides in length. Their secondary structure includes four short double-helical elements and three loops (D, anti-codon, and T loops).
Source: RNAcentral
UAGUUCAGCUGGUUAGAAUGCCUGCCUGUCACGCAGGAGGUCGCGGGUUCGAGUCCCGU